This 556-nucleotide long non-coding RNA is filed under the name Panax ginseng (ginseng). Its description in RNAcentral is "long non-coding RNA (PGIN_LNC017663)". The record is from RNAcentral. Lineage: Eukaryota; Viridiplantae; Streptophyta; Magnoliopsida; Apiales; Araliaceae.
UUUAGUAUUAUUCAGCUUAAAGAAAUGGUAUCGUGGAGAACCGAGUUCGGGUUUCAAGUAUCCGGAUUUGGGGUCACCACAUUAUGCGUAACACACCGACAGGAUGUUCCAACAGAAUAAUAAAGAAUAGAACAACAGAAGAAUUUUACCAUGUAUGCGGUACUUCUCAUAGACAGGUUAUUCCAACAUAAUAACAAAGAAUGGAAUAACAGAAGUUCUCUUCGUGAAGUCGAAAGAAAGAAAUAAUACCUCUUACCGUAAAAGAAGAGUAUUCCGACUAGUAAGGCGAUGAUAUUCUUGAAGAAAACUUGCACUACGCUCAAAGCUUCUUAAAACUCUAAAGAAACACGCUCAAGAUUAUAAAAGAAUUCUCUGAACUUCUGGUGUGGUUUUCAAUUCUAACUAAGCAUCCUAUUUAUAGGAAAAUAGAAAGGAUACUAUACUGCACUAUGCAAUAAAAUAUAAUAUAUUCUAUUUAUAAUCAAAUAAAACAAAACUUUAUAAAAAGUAUUCUGUUUUAUAUAAAAAGAUUUUACUAUGCAAACACUAUGCAGGC